AGUGAACGCUGGCGGUAGGCCUAACACAUGCAAGUCGAACGGCAGCACAGUAAGAGCUUGCUCUUACGGGUGGCGAGUGGCGGACGGGUGAGGAAUACAUCGGAAUCUACUUUUUCGUGGGGGAUAACGUAGGGAAACUUACGCUAAUACCGCAUACGACCUACUGGUGAAAGCAGGGGAUCUUCGGACCUUGCGCGAUUGAAUGAGCCGAUGUCGGAUUAGCUAGUUGGCGGGGUAAAGGCCCACCAAGGCGACGAUCCGUAGCUGGUCUGAGAGGAUGAUCAGCAACACUGGAACUGAGACACGGUCCAGACUCCUACGGGAGGCAGCAGUGGGGAAUAUUGGACAAUGGGCGCAAGCCUGAUCCAGCCAUACCGCGUGGGUGAAGAAGGCCUUCGGGUUGUAAAGCCCUUUUGUUGGGAAAGAAAAGCAGCAGGUUAAUACCCCGCUGUUCUGACGGUACCCAAAGAAUAAGCACCGGCUAACUUCGUG
RNAcentral lists this ribosomal RNA (492 nucleotides) under uncultured bacterium. Its description in RNAcentral is "partial 16S ribosomal RNA". It matches the Rfam family "Bacterial small subunit ribosomal RNA", at positions 29 to 507 of the family's 1533-position model. The record is from RNAcentral.